Molecule: long non-coding RNA, 908 nt
Organism: Rhineura floridana
Lineage: Eukaryota; Metazoa; Chordata; Lepidosauria; Squamata; Rhineuridae
Exons: 4
Source: RefSeq, a predicted model, not a curated record
AAGUGACAUAAGAAACAUUACUCAGUAUUAUGCUGUUUUCCAACUACUCAAGCUGAAUGAGAAUGAGUGAGUUUAUCUAUCUACUAAAAAGAAGGGCAGAGGGAUAAUCUUUUCCCUCCUCCUUCCAUGAAUUACCAGAGAAGACAGAAGCGCUCAUUUUGGAAGGGAUUACUUGCUCGGAAUACAAUUAAAAAGCGGAAAGCAGAAGAAGAAAAGGAGAAAGCUGCAGUGGGUCCAAAUUGCUGCUCCACGAGCUAGAGGGAGCCCCAGCUGACGAAGCGUCAAGGCCCCAGCUGACAAAGCAUCAAGGCGAGUUAAGUAGCAGAGCGAAAAGAGGACGGAUAUGGGCAACAGUGAGAUAUGAGGCCAGAGGCCUUCAAAGGGAUAAGAAGAAGCCCCAGCAUAAGCUGCUCUGGGACAUGUGUCCCUCCCCAGUUAGACUCGAGGUUGCUGGAUGGGGAUGGAGCAGAUGCGCAUCCUAACCCGGAGGGCCGCAAAAUCGAGCAUGGGCUCACAGUUGGGCCUCAGUCGAUGGACUGCAAUACAGUGGCUUGGCCGGAGAGGAAUGCGUUGGGAUGGGCUCCUACCCACUUUAUUCCAGCAAGGUUCAAUGUGGACGGUUCCGCAUGUGGUGGUCAUUCCCCUGGGUGGGAAUGACCUCGGUUACUUGAGGCAAGAACCUCAAGUGGCAGGCAUGUGAAGACAUGCAGUUGACAAGGCAACGAUGGCCUUUAGUACAUCUGCUGUGGUCAGACAUUCUCCCAUGCAGGGUGUGGCAUGGUGUAUGGGACCCAAAGGGGAUGGUUCGGGCACAGAAGAGGGUCAACUGGCGGAUUUGGUUGGCUCUUCUUGAACACAAGAAGAUGGCUGUUCCACAUCCCCACAUACAGCAUUGGAAGGUUGAACGA